This 465-nucleotide ribosomal RNA is filed under the name Vreelandella stevensii. RNAcentral's name for it is "partial 16S ribosomal RNA". It matches the Rfam family "Bacterial small subunit ribosomal RNA", at positions 338 to 795 of the family's 1533-position model. The record is from RNAcentral. Lineage: Bacteria; Pseudomonadati; Pseudomonadota; Gammaproteobacteria; Oceanospirillales; Halomonadaceae.
CCUACGGGGUGCUGCAGUGGGGAAUAUUGGACAAUGGGCGAAAGCCUGAUCCAGCCAUGCCGCGUGUGUGAAGAAGGUCUUCGGGUUGUAAAGCACUUUCAGUGGGGAAGAAAGCCUUGGGGCUAAUACCCUCGAGGAAGGACAUCACCCACAGAAGAAGCACCGGCUAACUCCGUGCCAGCAGCCGCGGUAAUACGGAGGGUGCGAGCGUUAAUCGGAAUUACUGGGCGUAAAGCGCGCGUAGGCGGUCUGAUAAGCCGGUUGUGAAAGCCCCGGGCUCAACCUGGGAACGGCAUCCGGAACUGUCAGGCUAGAGUGCAGGAGGGGAAGGUAGAAUUCCCGGUGUAGCGGUGAAAUGCGUAGAGAUCGGGAGGAAUACCAGUGGCGAAGGCGGCCUUCUGGACUGACACUGACGCUGAGGUGCGAAAGCGUGGGUAGCAAACAGGAUUAGAUACCCCGGUAGUC